ACAACUUUCAACAAUGGAUCUCUUGGCUCUCGCAUCGAUGAAGAACGCAGCGAAAUGUGAUAAGUAAUGUGAAUUGCAGAAUCCAGUGAAUCAUCGAAUCUUUGAACGCAUCUUGCGCUCCUUGGCAUUCUGAGGAGCAUGCCUGUUUGAGUGUCAUUAAA
This 161-nucleotide ribosomal RNA is filed under the name Amanita lippiae. RNAcentral's name for it is "5.8S ribosomal RNA". It matches the Rfam family "5.8S ribosomal RNA". From Rfam's summary of the family: 5.8S ribosomal RNA (5.8S rRNA) is a component of the large subunit of the eukaryotic ribosome. It is transcribed by RNA polymerase I as part of the 45S precursor that also contains 18S and 28S rRNA. Functionally, it is thought that 5.8S rRNA may be involved in ribosome translocation. The record is from RNAcentral. Lineage: Eukaryota; Fungi; Basidiomycota; Agaricomycetes; Agaricales; Amanitaceae. RNAcentral also lists the same sequence under 5 other names.